UGGCAUAGUCAACAGGAUUCCGAUGUGAGUGAGUCCUCAGCCCCUGAUGGUCCUGGGUCAGCUAUGUGGUCUCAGCAUGGGUUGUGGUACCUUGUGGCAGCCUUCCCGCUCAGAUGGGCCCCGGUGAAAACAUGGGUGAUGGUGGACGGGUCUCCCAUGACCAUGGAGAAGGCGCUGAAGCACUUUGAAGCACAGAGCACUGAAAAGGAGCGAGCCUUUGCCGGCAGAGUUGGAUGGGCGUUUUUGACUGUGCUACAGGAAGUGCACACUCAGUCCCUGAGGGAUACAGCUCAGGUAAGAGACCUCCAGGGUCAAGCAGAGAGCCUGGAGAUCCGGAUACACAGCUUGAAACGAGAAUUAGGGCCUGCCACUAGUGUGGGCCUGGGCCAGCCAUCCCAGUCAGAGACCCCCGCCCGGUCUGAUACCAAGGAGGAAGAAUCUCCACUGCAGGCUCACCCAGUGGUCCAUCAGAAAACAGAGUAGGAACAGCCACUGGGGCCCUGGGGCGUGGGGGUUCAGGGACCCCCUACUGUGGUGGAGCACAUGUCAUACAGUGCCUAUACCCCAACUGAGUUGCAUAAAUUAGGUAAACAGUGUCAGCAGUGCAUGGGGGAACCCCUACCCUCCUGGAUGCUUUGCCUUUUGGAUGAGGGAGCUGAUGGUAUUGUCUGCUCUGCCUCUGAAAUGGAAAAGUUGGCCUCCAUUAUGACCCAUCCUUCCAACAGCGAUUUCAGGUGAGCAGGCGGUUAACACAGGGGCAAGGCGACCACACCCUGACUGAAUGGCUGAUGGCUGCCACAGAACGGUAUGGAACGAUGCCAGAGAAAUACCAAAAACUGUGAGUAAAUGUCAUUCAUAUGCAGAGCUGGUGCAGGUAAUUCAGGAAAUGGGUAUGUGGCAAGUUUUGUUUGAUUUAAAUACCUGAGGGCCAUAUGUUGAAUGCUUUAUCUCCCACAUGGGGACCUUGUGUUGAGCUCUGCACCCCCGAGUGCUUUCAGCUCUCUGGCCACUGUCCUUCUCUGUACAUGGGACACUGCGUACAUGAGAUGACUACUGCCAUGGUGGCCCUCAGAGCAGAGGGCCAUUGGCAGGACCAGGGACUUUGUGCCAUAAAAAAGGGGAAGGUACCCCUUCCACAGGGGCCACCUCAUGGGACAAAAAAGGGCCCCAGUGGGUGACCUGCACACAGAUGAGAAUUGAUUCGAUUUUGGCUGAGGUUGACCGAGAUAAAACUGAUAGGCAACCCAGUGAAGUGCUGUUAACUUUGUGGAGGCAAUUGUCCCCAGAGCAGCAAUUCCAGAAAAUGCUCAAGAUGGGGCAGGAUGAUGUUGCUUGACCCAGUCCCACCAGGAUGCUCCAGCUCAAAGACUACUUGAAGGAUCUGCACCACCCUUCCAGCAGCAGCUGCGGAUGGCUUGCCCUGGCAUCUACACUUAGCUUCUAUGGAGAACUGGACAUGGCUAGAGACUUGGGGUCCCAUGGGCGAUGCCUAGAAUGCAAAAUGGGCGCGGUGGCUCACGCCUGUAAUCCCAGCACUUUGGGAGGCCAAGGCAGGUGGAUCAAGAGGUCAGGAGAUCGAGACCAUCCUGGCUAACAAGCUGAAACCCCGUCUCUACUAAAAAUACAAAAAAAAAAAUUAGCUGGGCGUGGUGGCGGGCACCAGUAGCCCCAGCUACUCCGGAGGCUGAGGCAGGAGAAUGGCGUGAACCCGGGAGGCGGAGCUUGCAGUGAGCCGAGAUGGCGCCACUGCACUUCAGCCCGGGCGACGGAGUGAGACUCUGCCUCAAAAAAAAAAAAAACUUUCUUUUGGAGAAAAUAUUUUAUUAUUCUAGGGCUCAUCAUGAUAAAAAUAUGUGAAGUAACACAACCAAUGAAUAUUUUAUGGAAACCAAAAUAUUUUUUAAAUACUGAUUAGAAAAUCGAAUCCACCAUCAUAUAGUGAUACUAUUUUUCUC
This 1955-nucleotide long non-coding RNA is filed under the name Pongo abelii (Sumatran orangutan). RNAcentral describes it as "lincRNA". Lineage: Eukaryota; Metazoa; Chordata; Mammalia; Primates; Hominidae. The record is from RNAcentral.